Molecule: ribosomal RNA, 379 nt
Filed under: uncultured bacterium
Lineage: Bacteria
Description: partial 16S ribosomal RNA
Rfam family: Bacterial small subunit ribosomal RNA
Source: RNAcentral
CCUACGGGAGGCUGCAGUGGGGAAUAUUGGGCAAUGGGCGCAAGCCUGACCCAGCCACGCCGCGUGAAGGAAGAAGGCUUUCGGGUUGUAAACUUUCUUUAAGAGGGAAGAGCAGAAGACGAUACCUCUUGAAUAAGCUAUGGCUAACUACGUGCCAGCAGCCGCGGUAAUACGUAGGUGGCCAGCGUUGACCGGAUUUACUGGGUGUAAAGGGCGUGCAGGCGGGAAGACAAGUCAGAUGUGAAAUCCCGGGGCUCAACCGCAGAACUGCAGUUGAAACUGGUUUUCUUGAGUACCGGAGAGGUCAGCGGAAUGCGGUGUGUAGCGGUGAAAUGCGUAGAUAUAACGAAGAACACCAGUUGCGAAGGCGGAUGACUGG